This 402-nucleotide ribosomal RNA is filed under the name uncultured bacterium. RNAcentral describes it as "partial 16S ribosomal RNA". It matches the Rfam family "Bacterial small subunit ribosomal RNA", at positions 28 to 526 of the family's 1533-position model. The record is from RNAcentral.
GACGAACGCUGGCGGCGUGCCUAAUACAUGCAAGUCGAACGCAGGGGGGACGGGUGAGUAACACGUGGGUAACCUCCCAUCAGAGGGGAUAACACUUGGAAACAGGUGCUAAACCGAUACUGAUGGAUGGACCCGCGGUGCAUUAGCUAGUUGGUGCGGUAACGGCUCACCAAGGCCACGAUGCCUCGCCGUCCGAAGAGGUGACUAGGCAACACUGGGCCUGAGACACGGCCAAAACUCCUACGUGAGGCAGCAGUAGGGACACUUCGGCAAUGGACGAAAGUCUGACCGAGCAUCGCCGCGUGAGUGAAGAAGGUUUUCGGAUCGUAAAACUCUGUUGUUAGAGAAGCGGUAUCUAACCAGAAAGCCACGGCUAACUACGUGCCAGCAGCGCGGUAAUUC